Molecule: ribosomal RNA, 459 nt
Filed under: uncultured bacterium
Lineage: Bacteria
Description: bacterial SSU rRNA
Rfam family: Bacterial small subunit ribosomal RNA
Source: RNAcentral
UACGGAAGGCAGCAGGUGGGGAAUAUUGCACAAUGGGCGCAAGCCUGAUGCAGCCAUGCCGCGUGUAUGAAGAAGGCCUUCGGGUUGUAAAGUACUUUCAGCGGGGAGGAAGGCGAUGUGGUUAAUAACCGCGUCGAUUGACGUUACCCGCAGAAGAAGCACCGGCUAACUCCGUGCCAGCAGCCGCGGUAAUACGGAGGGUGCAAGCGUUAAUCGGAAUUACUGGGCGUAAAGCGCACGCAGGCGGUCUGUUAAGUCAGAUGUGAAAUCCCCGGGCUUAACCUGGGAACUGCAUUUUGAAACUGGCAGGCUUGAGUCUCGUAGAGGGGGUAGAAUUCCAGGUGUAGCGGUGAAAUGCGUAGAGAUCUGGAGGAAUACCGGUGGCGAAGGCGGCCCCCUGGGACGAAGGACUGACGCUCAGGGUGCGAAAGCGUGGGGAGCAAACAGGGAUUAGAUACC